RNAcentral lists this ribosomal RNA (131 nucleotides) under uncultured fungus. RNAcentral's name for it is "partial contains internal transcribed spacer 1 and 5.8S ribosomal RNA". The record is from RNAcentral. Lineage: Eukaryota; Fungi.
GAUCAGCCCGCUCCCGGUAAAAAGGGACGGCCCGCCAGAGGACCCCUAAACUCUGUUUCUAUAUGGUAACUUCUGAGUAAAACCAUAAAUAAAUCAAAACUUUCAACAACGGAUCUCUUGGUUCUGGCAUC